AUCAAUAAGCGGAGGAAAAGAAACCACCGGGAUUGCCUUAGUAACGGCGAGUGAAGCGGCAAAAGCUCAAAUUUGAAAUCUGGCGUCUUCGACGUCCGAGUUGUAAUUUGAAGAAGGCAACUUUGUAGCUGGUCCUUGUCUAUGUUCCUUGGAACAGGACGUCAUAGAGGGUGAGAAUCCCGUGUGGCGAGGAUCCCAGUUAUUUGUAAAGUGCUUUCGACGAGUCGAGUUGUUUGGGAAUGCAGCUCUAAGUGGGUGGUAAAUUCCAUCUAAAGCUAAAUAUUGGCGAGAGACCGAUAGCGAACAAGUACAGUGAUGGAAAGAUGAAAAGAACUUUGAAAAGAGAGUGAAAAAGUACGUGAAAUUGUUGAAAGGGAAGGGCAUUUGAUCAGACAUGGCGUUUGCUUCGGCUUUCGCUGGGCCAGCAUCAGUUUUAGCGGUUGGAUAAAUCCUCGGGAAUGUGGCUCUGCUUCGGUAGAGUGUUAUAGCCCGUGGGAAUACAGCCAGCUGGGACUGAGGAUUGCGACUUUUGUCAAGGAUGCUGGCGUAAUGGUUAAAUGCCGCCCGUCUUGAAACACGGACCAAGGAGUCUAACGUCUAUGCGAGUGUUUGGGUGUAAAACCCGUACGCGUAAUGAAAGUGAACGUAGGUGAGGGCCCGCAAGGGUGCAUCAUCGACCGAUCCUGAUGUCUUCGGAUGGAUUUGAGUAAGAGCAUAGCUGUUGGGACCCGAAAGAUGGUGAACUAUGCCUGAAUAGGGUGAAGCCAGAGGAAACUCUGGUGGAGGCUCGUAGCGGUUCUGACGUGCAAAUCGAUCGUCGAAUUUGGGUAUAGGGGCGAAAGAC
Molecule: ribosomal RNA, 844 nt
Filed under: Kluyveromyces lactis
Lineage: Eukaryota; Fungi; Ascomycota; Saccharomycetes; Saccharomycetales; Saccharomycetaceae
Description: LSU rRNA
Rfam family: Eukaryotic large subunit ribosomal RNA
Source: RNAcentral